AACGCGAAGAACCUUACCAGCCCUUGACAUGUCCGGUGUGGAGAUCAGAGAUGAACUCCUUCAGUUCGGCUGGCCGGAACACAGGUGCUGCAUGGCUGUCGUCAGCUCGUGUCGUGAGAUGUUGGGUUAAGUCCCGCAACGAGCGCAACCCUCGCCCUUAGUUGCCAUCAUUUAGUUGGGCUCUCUAAGGGGACUGCCGGUGAUAAGCCGCGAGGAAGGUGGGGAUGACGUCAAGUCCUCAUGGCCCUUACGGGCUGGGCUACACACGUGCUACAAUGGCGGUGACAAUGGGACGCAAUGGGGCAACCCUGCGCAAAUCUCAAAAAGCCGUCUCAGUUCGGAUUGUGCUCUGCAACUCGAGCACAUGAAGUUGGAAUCGCUAGUAAUCGCAGAUCAGCACGCUGCGGUGAAUACGUUCCCGGGCCUUGUACACACCGCUGUA
This 442-nucleotide ribosomal RNA is filed under the name uncultured bacterium. RNAcentral describes it as "bacterial SSU rRNA". It matches the Rfam family "Bacterial small subunit ribosomal RNA", at positions 958 to 1398 of the family's 1533-position model. The record is from RNAcentral.